This 241-nucleotide ribosomal RNA is filed under the name uncultured Actinomycetales bacterium. Its description in RNAcentral is "partial 16S ribosomal RNA". It matches the Rfam family "Bacterial small subunit ribosomal RNA", at positions 89 to 334 of the family's 1533-position model. The record is from RNAcentral. Lineage: Bacteria; Bacillati; Actinomycetota; Actinomycetes; Actinomycetales.
ACUCGAGUGGCGAACGGGUGAGUAACACGUGGGUGAUCUGCCUUGCACUCUGGGAUAAGCUUGGGAAACUGGGUCUAAUACCGUAUAGGAACCGUCUUUAGUGUGGUGGUUGGAAAGUUUUUCGGUGCAAGAUGAGCUCGCGGCCUAUCAGCUUGUUGGUGGGGUAAUGGCCUACCAAGGCGACGACGGGUAGCCGGCCUGAGAGGGUGUACGGCCACAUUGGGACUGAGACACGGCCCAG